AGGGUUUGAUCCUGGCUCAGGACGAACGCUGGCGGCAGGCCUAACACAUGCAAGUCAAACGGCCUUCGGAGUUAGUGGCGCACGGGUGCGGAACACGUGGGAACAUACCCUUUGGUAAGGAAUAAUAUCUGGAAACGGAUACUAAUACCUUAUAAUGACUUCGGUCCAAAGAUUUAUCGCCAAAGGAUUGGCCCGCGCAUGAUUAGUUUGUUGGUGAGGUAAUGGCUCACCAAGACUACGAUCAUUAGCUGGUCUGAGAGGACGAUCAGCCACACUGGAACUGAGACACGGUCCAGACUCCUACGGGAGGCAGCAGUGAGGAAUAUUGCACAAUGGGGGAAACCCUGAUGCAGCCAUGCCGCGUGUAUGAAGAAGGCCUUAGGGUUGUAAAGUACUUUCAAUAGUGAAGAUUAUGACGGUAGCUAUAGAAGAAGCCCCGGCUAAAUUCGUGCCAGCAGCCGCGGUAAUACGAAUGGGGCAAGCGUUGUUCGGAAUAACUGGGCUUAAAGCGUGCGCAGGCGGAUAUGAAAGUCAGAAGUGAAAUCCCAGGGCUCAACCCUGGAACUGCUUUUGAAACUCCAUAUCUAGAAUCCGGUAGAGGUCAAGAGAAUUCCUAGUGUAGAGGUGAAAUUCGCAGAUAUUAGGAGGAAUACCAGUGGCGUAGGCGCUUGACUGGACCGGUAUUGACGCUCAUGUACGAAAGCGUGGGGAGCAAACAGGAUUAGAUACCCUGGUAGUCCACGCCGUAAACGAUGUAUGCUAGUUGUUGGAGUCUUAAGGCUUCAGUGACGCAGAGAAAUCAUUAAGCAUACCGCCUGGGGAGUACGGUCGCAAGAUUAAAACUCAAAGGAAUUGACGGGGACCCGCACAAGCGGUGGAGCAUGUUGUUUAAUUCGAAGCAACGCGAAGAACCUUACCCACACUUGACAUACUAGUCGGGGAUUUCAGAGAUGAUUUCCUUCGGUUCGGCCGGACUAGAUACAGGUGCUGCAUGGCUGUCGUCAGCUCGUGUCGUGAGAUGUUAGGUUAAGUCCUGCAACGAGCGCAACCCUUAUCGUAUGUUACCAUCAUUUAGUUGGGGACUCAUGCGAGACUGCCGGUGACAAGCCGGAGGAAGGCGGGGACGACGUCAAGUCAUCAUGGCCCUUACGUGUGGGGCUACAAACGUGCUACAAUGGUAACGACAAUGGGCAGCCACUCCGCGAGGAGGCGCUAAUCUCCAAACGUUAUCUCAGUUCGGAUUGUUCUCUGCAACUCGAGAGCAUGAAGUUGGAAUCGCUAGUAAUCGUGCAUCAGCAUGUCACGGUGAAUACGUUCCCGGGUCUUGUACACACCGCCCGUCACGUCAUGGGAGUUGGUUCUACCCGAAGGCCGUGCGCUAACCGCAAGGAGGCAAGCGACCACGGUAGGGUUAGCGACUGGCACUAAGUCGUAACAAGGUAGCCG
This 1446-nucleotide ribosomal RNA is filed under the name uncultured prokaryote. RNAcentral's name for it is "partial 16S ribosomal RNA". It matches the Rfam family "Bacterial small subunit ribosomal RNA". The record is from RNAcentral.